This is an RNA transcript of Sciurus carolinensis (gray squirrel), 4137 nucleotides long. It is a transcript of the gene named solute carrier family 22 member 27-like, with no coding region annotated. The transcript has 5 exons. Lineage: Eukaryota; Metazoa; Chordata; Mammalia; Rodentia; Sciuridae. The record is from RefSeq and is a predicted model, not a curated record.
GGGUCUCAUGGAAAAUGUGGACAACAGGACAGAGCAGCAGGAAAAUUCAAGGAGGGAGACCAGAACUCUGAAAAGGGUCACAAGGGAAUGCUAGAAACCAAACUUGCUGUAAUAGGAGUGAUGUCAAUCUUGAUAGACUCAACAGUAGACUGAGGAGAGAAUCAAUGAUUCUGAUGGUGUUCCAGCAGAAACCUCUGAAAUCUAGACACGGUAAGAAUGUGGGGUGAAAUAUGGAUCAGAUUCCAAAAACUAGCUAUUUAAAAGGUAUUUUAUACACAUAUAUGGGAGUGCCAAAUGAGAGGAGGGGAAAAGAAAGGAAUAAAAGAAAUACUUAAAGUAAUUAAGGCUGAAAAUUUCCUUAAAGGUCAUUAAAAAUCCCUAUGGAAUUGUAUCUUCCUUAAUGACAGACACAUAAAUAGAGGAGAUCACUGUGGAAAAGACUGACUGUUGAAUGCUUUCCAUAAAGUUCAAAAUACAUGAAUGUCAGUUCUCAUAACUUCUGUUUGAAACUGAAUGUCCCCAGUGAUCUACUUCUUUCAUCCAGGACCUACCCACCUAAGUUAUUACCCAAUUGCCCACUCAUACUAUUAAUCCUUCAAGUGAAUUAACCCUCUAAUGAGGCUAGAGCUCUCAUAAGCUAAUCAUAGCACCAUAAAAAUUCCUGCAUUGCCUGACAUAUGAAGCUAAUAUGGGGACAUCCUGUACCCAAACUAUGGCACCUCACUUGCACUAAUUUUUCUUGGGAUGAUUUUCAUGACCUCUGUGAAUCAAGAUUUGGUACUAAUAAAAAAAAAUUACCUCUCACCAGUCACAGAAAACUGAAACACUUAAAUGCGUAUUGCAAACAACAUAUUCUGUAAAAAAUUGCAGAGCAGGUAUCAGAGUUCCUCUGGUUAGUUUACAGAGUAUUUGCAGAUCAAUGUCCAAAGAUGACUGCAGUUCAUUGCCCACAAUGAGAAUUUUUGCAAAGUAGAUCAUUAACAGACUUAAUGGCAGAAAGCAACUCAGCAAAAUACCUCCCUCAGUGAUUUAAAGAAAACAGCCACCUAAAUAACCUGAUAAAGACUAGGGGAUAGUAGCUGCCACAGAGCUGAAGAGGGGACCAUUAAGGAGUAAGUGAGGUCAGGAUCAACACCCCUUGCUGUGUCACAGGGAAAGACAUUAGAACAAUUUUCUUUGAACUUAUCUAGGUACAACAACUUUACCUUCAGUCAGGGAGAGUCAUUCAGCCACCAUGGCUUUUCAGGACCUCCUAGAUCAAGUUGGUGGUAUGGGGAGGUUCCAGAUAAUUCAGAUGGUUUUUCUUCUUCUCUGCAAUGCCAUGGUGGCCCCUCAUAUUAUGUUGGACAACUUCACUGCUGUCAUCCUUGGUCAUCGCUGCUGGGUCCACAUCCUCGACAAUGACACAGUCUCUGACAAUGCCACUGGGACCCUCAGCCAGGACACCCUCCUGAGGAUCUCCAUCCCACUAGACUCAAUCCUGAGGCCAGAGAAGUGCUGGUGCUUCAUCCACCCACAAUGGCAGUUCCUUCAUCAGAAUGGGACCUUCUCAAACAUGAGUGAGCCAGACACAGAGCCCUGCAUGGAUGGCUGGUUAUAUGACCAAAGCUACUUCCUCUCCACCACUGUGACUGAGUGGGACCUGUUGUGUGAAUCUCAGUCACUGAAUUCAGUGGCUAAAUUUUUCUUCAUGGCUAGAAUGUUGAUGGGAAGCAUUGUAUGUGGUUAUUUGACAGACAGUGACAAGGAAAUGGAGUUAUAGCAAUAUCAGUCACCUUGCCCAGGGUAUACAACUGGCUGUGAGAUCCACCAUGAAGGAGGAGCUGCAGGCAGCACAGAAAAAACCUUCUCUGUGUGACAGUGUUCCACACAACAGAAGACAGAUCUUUCUUCUGUCCUUGGUGAGAAAUGCAGACCAUUCAUACAAUUUUGACAACUUUGGGAGGAGGACUUUCUUUUGCCUCUGUUUCCUGUUGUCUUUCUUUGUCAAAUGAACUGCUCCUCACAGUUGUCAGGUACAAAUUCUCCUAGGUUCCCUGUCAGGGUUAAAUCAUCCCUUCCCAGCUCAAUGACUUAUUGAAGGAAGAAACCAAAAGUAAUGAUGGUAAUGAUAACAUUUAUAGCCAGAAUUUACCCAAUGUUAGCUUUUUGCCAGAGAAUUUUGGGUGUCCUCAUGUACCACUAAUGUACAUCUCAUGGAUUCCUUGGAGUCACCUAAAUUAGAGAUGCUAUUGUGCAAGUCACAAUAGCCAAGUUAUGGAUCCAGCCCAGGUGUCCAUCAACAGAUGAGUGAAUAAAGAAAAUAUGUUACAUAUACACACUGGAGUGUAUGCAGCCAUAUAGAAGACCAAAAUUAUGCCAUUUGCAGGUGAAUCAAUGGAAUUGUAGAAGAGCAUGCUGAGUGAAAUAAGCCAGACUCAGAAACAGAAGGGUUGAUUGUUUUAUCUAUUUGGAAGCUAGAAUGUUAGCAAGAGCAUGAAUUUUCAUUAAAAGAGAAGGGAGUCCUCUGGAGUAGAGAAUGGGGAUUGGAGGUGAGGAACUGUACAAUGAACUUGAACAAAUUAUGUUCAUAUGCACAUAUAUCACAACAAAUCCCCUCAUUUGGUAUAAUUAUAAUGCACCAAUUCAGGAAAUAAUGCAUAAUAAAUAAAAUAAAUGAGCAACAAUAUUUUUAAAUGAUAAAACAUGUCUUAGUAAUCUGUGAACUUGAGAGUAAUUGUUAUCCAACCAAACAAAAUUUGAGCAAGUCAUCAAUCUUCACAUGCCUAAGCGUACCCCUUGUUAUCUCACAUAAUCAAUGCAAAAAGUUGACAAAAACCCCUUGUGCAUUAUCCCCAGGUUAAUUUUGCGAUUUUUUUUUGUUGUUGUUUUUUGUGCUCCAGAGUAACAUGUUUAGGAAUCAUUGGAGUUUGCAAUUACGUGGGGGCAGCCCUAGUGCCCCUGUUGAUGAUCCUGGAGACAUAUACAGCACCCAUUCCCUAGGUCAUUUAUGGAGUGUCCUGUAUCCUUCCAGGCCUUACUGUCUUGCUCCUUCCGGAAACCAGGAACCAGCCUCUGCCUGAUUCCCUCCAAGAUAUAGAAAAUGAGUGAGUGAACUCUCUCAGGGUCCUUUACAGGUGUUUUGUGCCAUGGGUCUGAGAUGGAAACAGAUUCCACUGGAGCCACUGUAUCUUUGACAAGCUGAGACCUACAUUCUUUCUGGUAGUUAGUUCCCUUUGUUUAGUAAAAGCAAUAUUCUUUCACCAGCAAUCUCAGAAGUCCCCCUGAAGAUCUUCAGAGCAUACAAACCAUGUCAACCCAACCUGUAUCAGUAGUUUCCAUGGUAAAUGGUACAAAAUUAGGUCUCCCCUGUGUUCCUGAUCACAGUGAGACACAGGCUUCUGAGGGUAUUUCACACCCAAGACCAAUAUUAAUGCAAAUUUCGCCCUUCUUGUCCUACUAUCCUGUAACCUACUGAGGGCUGAGAGAUUUUUAUCACUGUAACUUCUUAUAGGCUGGAGGCUUUCCCUGGUCAUGGAAGAACCCAGGGGAAAUCAAGACAGGAUGAGGGCCCUUUUCACAGGUGACAAUAUAUCUAAGGAAAGAGGCUUCAUGUGUUGCCAUGAGAUUCAGAUCAUUCAGUUUACACUCAGAAUGAAAGUGUUCAUAAAAGGGCAGAGCGCAAUGAUAAAUAAAGGAAUUUUAUAAUGAUGAAGGUUUGAGGAAGGUUUUUAAACUUUUGUGUACUUCCCUGGUGCUUUCAGAGACUACUUUGGAGAAUGACAUGAUACCCAAGGACGACAGUAGAAAUGAUCAAAGCUGCUUUCCAAAUACUUCCAGAAGGUGUUUUCUUUUACUUCAUGUGAUUUACUCAAAUCCUUGGGCAGGUAUCAUGUUUUUUUGUACCAAGGUUGGUGGAGGAAGGAUCAGCUUGCUCUAAAGAAUGCUGGAGAUACCUUGUUUCUCUAUGUCCUUUUAUGUUUGUGUUUAUUUCAUUGUGGUUUUACCAUAUCUGUUCUAGGGGGAAAGUCUCCAGAGAAGUGAAGCAGGAAGAUCUCUCCAUCAAAGUGACACAGUUCUAAGGAAUUACAGUAAUUGAGUACUGAUCAAAGAGGAAGAAAAAGAAAGAAAUAUCAAGAUCACUCUUGGACACUAGAA